Molecule: ribosomal RNA, 112 nt
Filed under: Lepisosteus oculatus (spotted gar)
Lineage: Eukaryota; Metazoa; Chordata; Actinopteri; Semionotiformes; Lepisosteidae
Source: RNAcentral
GCUUGCUGCCUUAUUGCCCUGCAACUGGCAACCCACUGAAGCUCAGCAGGUGUGAGCCUGGUCAGUACCUGGAUGGGAGACCUCCUGGGAAAAACUAAGGUUGCUGCUGGAA